RNAcentral lists this ribosomal RNA (1058 nucleotides) under uncultured bacterium. Its description in RNAcentral is "bacterial SSU rRNA". It matches the Rfam family "Bacterial small subunit ribosomal RNA", at positions 336 to 1393 of the family's 1533-position model. The record is from RNAcentral.
CUCCUACGGGAGGCAGCAGUGAGGAAUAUUGGUCAAUGGGCGGAAGCCUGAACCAGCCAUGCCGCGUGAAGGAAUAAGGUCCUAUGGAUCGUAAACUUCUUUUGAGCGGGAGCAAUAAGGUCUACGUGUAGACCGAUGAGAGUACCGUUCGAAUAAGCAUCGGCUAACUCCGUGCCAGCAGCCGCGGUAAUACGGAGGAUGCAAGCGUUAUCCGGAUUUAUUGGGUUUAAAGGGUGCGUAGGCCGUUGUGCAAGUCAGAGGUGAAAUUGUGGGGCUCAACUCCGCCGCUGCCUUUGAAACUGCAUGACUUGAAUCCUGUUGCCGUGGGAGGAAUGAGUAGUGUAGCGGUGAAAUGCAUAGAUAUUACUCAGAACCCCGAUUGCGAAGGCAUCUCACGAAACAGGGAUUGACGCUGAGGCACGAAAGCGUGGGUAUCAAACAGGAUUAGAUACCCUGGUAGUCCACGCUGUAAACGAUGAUAACUAACCGUCGGCGAUACAUAGUCGGUGGCCAAGCGAAAGCGAUAAGUUAUCCACCUGGGGAGUACGACCGCAAGGUUGAAACUCAAAGGAAUUGACGGGGGCCCGCACAAGCGGAGGAACAUGUGGUUUAAUUCGAUGAUACGCGAGGAACCUUACCCGGGCUCGAACGGCAGAGGAAGAGAAUCAGAGAUGAUGACGUCCCUUCGGGGACCUCUGUCGAGGUGCUGCAUGGUUGUCGUCAGCUCGUGUCGUGAGAUGUUGGCUCAAGUGCCAUAACGAGCGCAACCCUUGUCAUUAGUUACCAUCAGGUCAAGCUGGGGACUCUAAUGAGACUGCCACCGCAAGGUGUGAGGAAGGAGUGGAUGACGUCAAAUCAGCACGGCCCUUACGUCCGGGGCGACACACGUGUUACAAUGGUGACUACAGAGGGGUGCCAGCCGGUGACGGCGCGCAAAUCUCGAAAAGUCAUCUCAGUUCGGACUGGAGUCUGCAACCCGACUCCACGAAGCUGGAUUCGCUAGUAAUCGCGCAUCAGCCAUGGCGCGGUGAAUACGUUCCCGGGUCUUGUACACACGC